CUAGUUAACACUGAGUUAACCUAUCGAGUGGCCUUUGGAGGACUAGACUGCUUAAAUCACGAUGACCUUGAUGAUGAUGAUGAUGAUGAUAAUGAUGAUGACGAUGAUUCCUUGAGCAAUAUCUCCUCCUCUGUGUCUUUGGCAUUAGGAAGAGUGGAUAAAAAGGACACAUCUCCACUUGGAGAGGAAGUGAGAAGCAAGGCUACUUCUGUAGGGGGUCACUCCCUGGUCCUUCUAGCCUGCCCUGUGCACAGGUUGAGGACAGUCCUGUGGCUGGAGAAAGCUGGAUCUGAAGGUUGUAGAAACUUGCAGAAAGAAGCCAUCAAAGUGACUUGGAAAGGAAGAAGAAAGCUUCUGUGCCAAUUGUAGUCAGAGGAGCUGGAACACCUG
Molecule: long non-coding RNA, 390 nt
Filed under: Papio anubis (olive baboon)
Lineage: Eukaryota; Metazoa; Chordata; Mammalia; Primates; Cercopithecidae
Description: lncRNA (ENSPANG00000036771.2)
Source: RNAcentral